AAUACAGGUGAGAGACAUGAGGGACUAAUCAACCACACAGACACACAGGCAAGCAGAGUGAUCACCGAGGAAACAUACAGAAGCAAAUCAAAAUGCAGAAACAUAAAUUAAACAUCAAAAGGCAAAAACUAUAACAGGACAGACAGGCAAACCGAAUAACGAGAACAGACUAAAGCAGAAUAAUCAAAAGAAUUAUGAAACUAAACAGAUCAGACCAGAACCACACAACCAGACUCCCCAACAAGACACACAGACAGGAUCGUGACAACAAUAAAGCAUAACAAACUAACUGAUUCUGAGGAGGCAUGUGCAUCUCCUCGCCUUUCCUGCCAGCGAUGGUACAGUUUCCAUCGCCUCCCAGAAGACGACGAAUCAAAAAGAAUAUGGCUUAAGAACGUAAACUUAAAUAAGCCCCCCAAACACCUGUUUGUGUGCUCGUUUCAGUUCGCUGACAAGAAGCCAACACAGGAUAACCCGUACCCAACGCUUUUUCUGGGUUACGAGAAGCCACCAGAGAAGAGAAGGCGACCCAGGACUCGAAAAGUCACAACAACAGCACCAACACCACUGAGGAAAGAAGCUGAAUGAAGAUAACAAAACCGCAGGUCCUGGUGAUGGCCUGCCUUGUUUGAUGUCUCGCACGCAGAAAGUGGAAUCUUCAUUCUACAAAAACGAAAGGCCAUCAUCCGAUGUCUCAUUGACCAUCCGGGAGAAGAUGCAAGUGCCUUGAUGAAGGACUUUGAGACUGCACGCGUCAAGUCCACCAUGUUACUAUAGUAGCCCUGAACGGACAAACCAAACAAUGACUCUAGAUAGGGCCUUCCCAUUUUUCUGAAGUUUCACUGCCAUCGUAGUUUCUCCUAUACACUUGGCCCGACCUAGAGCCAGUCUUUGGUUUGUCCAUUCUGCACUACUGUAGAAACAUGACUAUGCAACGUGGCGGACUCUGAGCAAGAGGACCCGUGCCGUCUGUACACAUAAAAAGGGUCAUAAUAGGUGAUUAUACACUACUGAAAACAUAUUUGUGAAUAUCAUUCUAUUUCUGCCAUAUUUUGCAAAUCUCUCUACACACUGGACUUUAAGUUAAUUCAAAAGCCAAUUAUUCUUGGUGCAUUUGCACCAUUUUUGAGAGACAGCUUACUAAUAUGCAGAGUUGAGCUCACUGUUUUUAUAGUGUGGUCAUUGUUACAUAGUGUAUGUCAUUUGUAAUUUAUGUCGUCUUUUUGUAAAGUAACCAGAUUGGACAAAUAAAUGUCUAAUUAAAAUGUGA
Molecule: long non-coding RNA, 1270 nt
Organism: Micropterus salmoides (largemouth bass)
Lineage: Eukaryota; Metazoa; Chordata; Actinopteri; Centrarchiformes; Centrarchidae
Exons: 6
Source: RefSeq, a predicted model, not a curated record